GGUUUUCCUAGAUUCAUUUGGAUGACAUUGUUAAUUUAAUAUAUGAAACACUGAUAAAUCCCUCCUAUAAAGGAUAAUGUUGAGGAUGAUAAUGAAGAUUAAGCUGAUUAUUAUUGUGGUUUAUUGGCAAAGAUAGAGUAGUGUU
This is a non-coding RNA of Arachis ipaensis, 145 nucleotides long. NCBI's taxonomy places the organism in Eukaryota, Viridiplantae, Streptophyta, Magnoliopsida, Fabales, Fabaceae. The record is from RefSeq and is a predicted model, not a curated record.